This 75-nucleotide transfer RNA is filed under the name bacterium. Its description in RNAcentral is "tRNA-Glu". It matches the Rfam family "tRNA". From Rfam's summary of the family: Transfer RNA (tRNA) molecules are approximately 80 nucleotides in length. Their secondary structure includes four short double-helical elements and three loops (D, anti-codon, and T loops). The record is from RNAcentral.
GUCCCCGUCGUCUAGUUCGGUCAAGGACACGGGCCUUUCGAGCCCGGAACACGGGUUCAAAUCCCGUCGGGGACG